GAAUCCCGUCUCUGACACGGACUACCAGGGCUUUGUGGUAUGCUCUCAAAGAGUCGAGUUGUUUGGGAAUGCAGCUCAAAAUGGGUGGUAAAUUCCAUCUAAAGCUAAAUAUUGGCGAGAGACCGAUAGCGAACAAGUACCGUGAGGGAAAGAUGAAAAGAACUUUGGAAAGAGAGUUAAACAGUACGUGAAAUUGCUGAAAGGGAAACGCUUGAAGUCAGUCGCGUUGACUGGGGAUCAGCCUUGCUUUUGCAUGGUGUACUCACUAGUUGACGGGUCAGUAUCAAUUUUGAUUGCUGGAAAAAGGCUUGAGAAAUGUGGCAGCUUCGGCUGUGUUAUAGUCUCUUGUCACAUACAGCAGUUGGGAUUGAGGAAUUCAGCACGCCGCAAGGCCGGGUUUCGACCACGUCCGUGCUUAGGAUACUGGCAUAAUGGCUUUAAGCGACCCGUCUUGAAACACGGACCAAGGAGUCUAACAUGCCUGCGAGUAUUUGGGUGGUAAACCCGAGUGCGUAAUGAAAGUGAAAGUUGAGAUCCCUGUCGUGGGGAGCAUCGACGCCCGGACCAGAACUUUUGGGACGGAUCCGCGGUAGAGCAUGUAUGUUGGGACCCGAAAGAUGGUGAACUAUGCCUGAAUAGGGUGAAGCCAGAGGAAACUCUGGUGGAGGCUCGUAGCGAUUCUGACGUGCAAAUCGAUCGUCAAAUUUGGGUAUAGGGGCGAAAGACUAAUCGAACCAUCUAGUAGCUGGUUCCUGCC
This 757-nucleotide ribosomal RNA is filed under the name uncultured Melanophyllum. Its description in RNAcentral is "partial 28S ribosomal RNA". It matches the Rfam family "Eukaryotic large subunit ribosomal RNA", at positions 216 to 962 of the family's 3401-position model. Lineage: Eukaryota; Fungi; Basidiomycota; Agaricomycetes; Agaricales; Agaricaceae. The record is from RNAcentral.